UUACUUCUCGAACUGCGUUGUUUAAUCAUUUAUUAUUUUCAUUUGUUUAAAAAAAAAUAUUUUUGAUUAUUAUGAUGGUGCACUUAAGUGGUGAAAUAGUCACAGAUAAUAUGUUGUUAUAGAAAUCGGAAUUAAUAGUAAGUACCGGCAGUUGAGUCCGCGUGUGUCUAUUUACUGGGAAAAAUACUGAUUUUUGGAAUAAUACGGACGUUUUGGGGUGCACCUUUAUUGAAAUAGACCAAGUCCCCCAUACAUAUGCUGUUAUCUUAAGUAAGCCCGUCUGGUGUUGGGGCGCCGAAAUGGGAGCUAAUGAAAGAGGUGUCUGUGUAGGCUGCACCGCCGUCUGGACCAAAUUCUGUCAUCCUGGGGAUCACGAGGAAAAAUUGAUUGGAUGCGACUUUGUACGAAGGCUUUCAUUGCUGUGGAGUGCAUUGAACGACAUCAUGGCCUAGAAGAACCUACCCGGGGAUAAUACCAGCAGCAACAAGUACCACGCAACCGCCAAAAUGCACGCCGCCAUUUUGAAGCACGUCUGAGUGAACCGAUGGUUUCCAUGGAUUCCAUGAAGAUUCAAUUGAUUUGUUGGUUUUUAAUCGUCCAAUUAUUUUUAAAAAUAAACAUUUUGGUGAAUGCUGUUUGUGUUCUUCCAACGGAUCAUCUUCUU
Molecule: long non-coding RNA, 664 nt
Organism: Dreissena polymorpha
Lineage: Eukaryota; Metazoa; Mollusca; Bivalvia; Myida; Dreissenidae
Exons: 4
Source: RefSeq, a predicted model, not a curated record